RNAcentral lists this long non-coding RNA (295 nucleotides) under Amborella trichopoda. Its description in RNAcentral is "long non-coding RNA (ATRI_LNC003104)". The record is from RNAcentral. Lineage: Eukaryota; Viridiplantae; Streptophyta; Magnoliopsida; Amborellales; Amborellaceae.
UAGAGAUACCUUCAAUGCCACUCUAUGUUUGUCUUCUAUAAUUUAGGAGUCUCUAUCUUUCUCUUCUCUCUUUAUACGCAUUAAAUUUAGGAGUUUCUCUCCCUUCUAUCUCUAUGCAUUAAAUUUAAGAAUUUCUAUAUGUCUCUAGCAUUAAUUUAGGUAUUUAUCUCCAUGUCUCCCUCGCUAUCUCUCUUUCAACCCCUAAAGAUACCCCGUCUCUCUUUCUAUACAUUAAAUUUAAUACUUUCUAUCUCUAGCAUUAAAUUCAGGGAUUUAUUUCCACGUUUAUCUCAAU